GACGAACGCUGGCGGCGUGCUUAACACAUGCAAGUCGAACGGUGAAGGGACCAGCUUGCUGGUUCUGGAUGAGUGGCGAACGGGUGAGUAACACGUGAGUAACCUGCCCCCUUCUUCUGGAUAACCGCAUGAAAGUGUGGCUAAUACGGGAUAUUCUGGGUCUGUCGCAUGGCGGGCCCGGGAAAGAUAUUGCUUCGGUGGGGGAUGGGCUCGCGGCCUAUCAGCUUGUUGGUGGGGUGAUGGCCUACCAAGGCGGUGACGGGUAGCCGGCCUGAGAGGGUGGACGGUCACACUGGGACUGAGACACGGCCCAGACUCCUACGGGAGGCAGCAGUGGGGAAUAUUGCACAAGGGGCGCAAGCCUGAUGCAGCGACGCCGCGUGAGGGAUGGAGGCCUUCGGGUUGUAAACCUCUUUCGCCAGUGAAGCAGGCCUGCUCCUUGUGGGUGGGUUGACGGUAGCUGGAGAAGAAGCGCCGGCUAACUACGUG
Molecule: ribosomal RNA, 489 nt
Filed under: uncultured bacterium
Lineage: Bacteria
Description: partial 16S ribosomal RNA
Rfam family: Bacterial small subunit ribosomal RNA
Source: RNAcentral